CUGGCAAGAGACGUGUUGCUGCUGCAGCUGUUCCCCUGCCGCGGGGCCCCUCCCGCGCUCGUACGGAGCUCCCGCCAUGCUGCCCGCAGACCUCGCCGCUGCUUCUCUCCGGCUCGGGCGGCCGGAGCGAGACCGGGAAAGUGAAUUGAGAAGACAGGAUGAAGUGGACACAGCAUGUGAAGACAAUUCUUUCAAGAAGUUUGGCUGUCAAGGAAAAUAGAGAAUGUGAGUAGCCGAAGGAGAAUGACAGGCGAAAGAAAGAAAUUGGGAGCCAGACAAUACAGCCGGACAGUUUACACCUGUAUUGAUGUUCCACCUUUUUCACAAAAGAUUGAGUAUGCUUGGGGAAAAACUACACACUAUCAUAGGAGAAAAUGAUUGGAAGAGAAACUGAGGCAAAGGUAUUAUCAGCAGGCCGUGGUGGCUCACACCUGUAAUCCCAGCACUUUGGCAGGCCAAGGCAGGCAGAUCAGCUUAGGUCAGGAGUUCAAGACCAGCCUGGCCAACAUGGUGCUAAAGACCAUACAGACACAGAGCAGACAGGCCACCUUUGCUACCACAUGGAGGUUUGUCUAAUAUUGAGGCUAAGGAAGCUGAGCUGGAAGACAGAGAGACCAAAUCCUGAUGACAUUGUUUGAACCCAGAGAUCCGGACAUGCCUGAAGACUAGUUUUACCACUGGACUUAUCUGUUAAAUGAGCCAAUAAACUCUCUUUUAUACUUAA
Molecule: non-coding RNA, 724 nt
Organism: Macaca mulatta (Rhesus monkey)
Lineage: Eukaryota; Metazoa; Chordata; Mammalia; Primates; Cercopithecidae
Source: RefSeq, a predicted model, not a curated record